Molecule: ribosomal RNA, 312 nt
Filed under: uncultured bacterium
Lineage: Bacteria
Description: bacterial SSU rRNA
Rfam family: Bacterial small subunit ribosomal RNA
Source: RNAcentral
AUUGAACGCUGGCGGCACGCUUAACACAUGCAAGUCGAACGGCAGCAUAACAAGAGCUUGCUCUUGUUGAUGGCGAGUGGCGGACGGGUGAGUAACGCGUAGGAAUAUGCCUUGAAGAGGGGGAUAACUUGGGGAAACCCAAGCUAAUACCGCAUAUGCUCUGAGGAGCGAAGCUGGGGACCUUCGGGCCUGGCGCUUUAAGAAUAGCCUGCGUCUGAUUAGCUUGUUGGUGGGGUAAAGGCCUACCAAGGCGAUGAUCGGUAGCUGGUCUGAGAGGAUGGACAGCCACACUGGGACUGAGACACGGCCCAG